CAAAUUAACCUGAGAGGAGUCAGUUUUUUACACUAACUGAAUAUUUGUGCAAUUCAAAUUAAUUUGA
Molecule: transfer RNA, 67 nt
Filed under: Coptosoma variegatum
Lineage: Eukaryota; Metazoa; Arthropoda; Insecta; Hemiptera; Plataspidae
Description: tRNA-Val
Source: RNAcentral